This 433-nucleotide ribosomal RNA is filed under the name uncultured bacterium. Its description in RNAcentral is "partial 16S ribosomal RNA". It matches the Rfam family "Bacterial small subunit ribosomal RNA", at positions 29 to 507 of the family's 1533-position model. The record is from RNAcentral.
AACGAACGCUGGCGGCAUGCCUAACACAUGCAAGUCGAACGAGACCUUCGGGUCUAGUGGCGCACGGGUGCGUACCGCGUGGGAACCUGCCCUUAGGUUCGGAAUAACUCCCCGAAAGGGGUGCUAAUACCGGAUAAUGUCUUCGGACCAAAGAUUUAUCGCGUUUGGAUGGGCCCGCGUUAGAUUAGCUAGUUGGUAGGGUAAAAGCCUACCAAGGCGACGAUCCAUAGCUGGUCUGAGAGGAUGAUCAGCCACACUGGGACUGAGACACGGCCCAGACUCCUACGGGAGGCAGCAGUGGGGAAUAUUGGACAAUGGGCGAAAGCCUGAUCCAGCAAUGCCGCGUGAGUGAUGAAGGCCUUAGGGUUGUAAAGCUCUUUUACCCGGGAUGAUAAUGACAGUACCGGGAGAAUAAGCUCCGGCUAACUCCGUG